GGUUCUACAAACAUAAAGCAAAAUGAAUCAAACUAAAUAUUACCCUAAAAGUAAUUUAAUAAUUUAUAAUAUUUUAGUUCACCAAGGGGUACAAAUGGUGACAUAGAAAAUUAAAGGGAAUAGUUAAUUCCUACUUAUUCAUUAAAAAAUACACUAUUUCCGAAGAAUUUUCGCUCAGUUUGCUUCCUUUUCAUUUUUUGAAUUUUAAGGAACUAUAGAAGAAAACAUUCCUUAUCAAAAUUGAUAUGAAACAAAAGAAGGGGAAAUUCUAUGUUUACCACUUUCAUGAUAUCACUUUUCAUCUUUACCAUCACUAAAGGGACAUUUUCAAAAACACCUUAUUCAUUAAGUGGCAAAAGACUCUUAUGUCCUUGUUCUUUAUGUAUAUAAUAAAUAAAUAUUUAAAUAAAUAAAAAAUCUAAAAAAAUAAAAAAUAAUUUUAAACCCUAAACCAUCAAACCCUAUUUCGAAAUUCAAACCCUAAACCCUAAAACUCAACUCUAAACCCUAAACCAUCAAUCCUAAACCCUAUUUUUUUUUUUGAAAUACGAACCCUAAACCCUAAACCAUCAAUCUUAAACCCUAUAUUUUUUUUAAUACGAACCCUAAACCCUGAAACAUCAACUCUAAACCC
This 634-nucleotide long non-coding RNA is filed under the name Brassica napus (rape). RNAcentral's name for it is "long non-coding RNA (BNAP_LNC015868)". Lineage: Eukaryota; Viridiplantae; Streptophyta; Magnoliopsida; Brassicales; Brassicaceae. The record is from RNAcentral.